AAAAAACAGUGGCUUUUUCUGCUAACCCUCUCAAGCAAUCAGAUAAGUAACUCAAAAUGAGGACCCAUGGGGAGAAUUGGCAAAUGAGAAGAGAGAAGAAUGGAGAAGUGGAAAGAAAUUUCAUCAGAAAGGCAAAUGAAUAUUUAGUUAACUAGACACAUAAAAUAUAGAGGCAAAGGAUAAAGAGAGAAAAAAGAAACGUGAAGAUCACUAAGGCUCAGUUUUGUUUUGUAUUGUAUUUUUGCCAAGGAUUAAGACACUUGGUACCUCUGAUAUAUCAAACUGAGAUACAACAGAGGUGAAUGAGGAGGAAAUAUAUUUUACACUUGAGAUACAUAGCAGCAUUUCAACCUCAAUAUCCCAUUUUACUGAGUGAAAAUGUAUUUUUCUUUUCUUUUUUGAUGUUUGCUAUAUGCC
This 417-nucleotide long non-coding RNA is filed under the name Vulpes vulpes (red fox). Its description in RNAcentral is "lncRNA (ENSVVUG00000021276.1)". The record is from RNAcentral. Lineage: Eukaryota; Metazoa; Chordata; Mammalia; Carnivora; Canidae.